ACCCCUUUUAAGUUUUGAUUAAUUUUUCUGACUGACCGCAAAUACUCAAAAUUCAGACCCUGAAGUUUUCUGCCUCAGAGAAAUGUAAAUAGCAUGUAUUGUUUCCCUUUCAUAAUUUUUUCCUUGCAAAGAUACUAGUGAGUUGAAAAGAAACAUUCAGAUGAAAUAAGCGGUUAAAGCUUCAUACUAAAACAAAGGAACUAGCUUAACAUAAUAAAAACUGCUAGGUUCUCAGCAAUACUCAUCAUAAUAUAUAAUAAGAUUGACGCUAAUUAAUUGGAUUUAAUCCCAGGGAAAUUAGAUGUGAGUUUGAAUGGUUAAUUUUCAUAGUACACUAUCAUUUCUGUGGAGUCGUUUUCAUAGUCAAACAUCCUUACAAAUGUGAUCUUCUCU
This 393-nucleotide long non-coding RNA is filed under the name Bos taurus (domestic cattle). RNAcentral describes it as "long non-coding RNA NONBTAT001106". The record is from RNAcentral. Lineage: Eukaryota; Metazoa; Chordata; Mammalia; Artiodactyla; Bovidae.